This 77-nucleotide transfer RNA is filed under the name Globisporangium ultimum DAOM BR144. Its description in RNAcentral is "tRNA EPrPULG00000000106". The stretch from base 14 to 69 matches the Rfam family "tRNA", at positions 10 to 63 of the family's 71-position model. From Rfam's summary of the family: Transfer RNA (tRNA) molecules are approximately 80 nucleotides in length. Their secondary structure includes four short double-helical elements and three loops (D, anti-codon, and T loops). Lineage: Eukaryota; Oomycota; Peronosporomycetes; Pythiales; Pythiaceae. The record is from RNAcentral.
GGGGAUCUCCCCUGCUUAAACGGUAGAGCACUCGGCUGAUAACCGAGAGGUCGCUGGAUCGAUACCAGCAACCGCCA